RNAcentral lists this ribosomal RNA (253 nucleotides) under uncultured bacterium. Its description in RNAcentral is "partial 16S ribosomal RNA". It matches the Rfam family "Bacterial small subunit ribosomal RNA", at positions 524 to 776 of the family's 1533-position model. The record is from RNAcentral.
CACGUAGGGGACGAGCGUUGUCCGGAUUCAUUGGGCGUAAAGCGCGCGUAGGCGGCUCGGAAAGUCGGGCGUGAAAUGCCGGGGCUCAACCCCGGGACUGCGUCCGAUACUUCCGAGCUGGAGGUAGGUAGGGGCAGAGGGAAUUUCCGGUGGAGCGGUGAAAUGCAUUGAGAUCGGAAAGAACACCAACGGCGAAAGCACUCUGCUGGGCCGACACUGACACUGAGAGACGAAAGCUAGGGGAGCAAACGGG